RNAcentral lists this ribosomal RNA (1257 nucleotides) under Triticum aestivum (bread wheat). RNAcentral describes it as "partial small subunit ribosomal RNA". Lineage: Eukaryota; Viridiplantae; Streptophyta; Magnoliopsida; Poales; Poaceae. The record is from RNAcentral.
AUGGAGGCGGUCGCGGCGGCCGGUGGCGCCGGGCUGGCCGGGUGGCAGGCGGCGGCGCUGUCGGGCGCGGCGGGCUGGGUGUGGGCGGCCUCCCACUACGACCUCACGCGCCGGGCGCGCGCGCUGGCGCAGCCCUGGGUCACCCGCCGCGUCCACGCCGAGACGCCCUCCAUCCUCACCUUCCAGAGGCUGCAGCACAGGUUGCUGGACAACUUCUUCUCCGUGCUGUCAUGCUUUGUCUCUGUCCCUUUCUACACGGGAUUCCUCCCCCUCCUCUUCUGGAGUGGACAUGGCAAGCUGGCUAGGCAAAUGACCCUGCUGCUGGCCUUCUGCGAUUACCUGGGCAACGCUGUCAAGGAUUUAGUGUCAGCUCCUCGGCCGUGUUCCCCUCCCGUGAGGAGAGUCACAGCUACCGAAGAUGAGAAGGAAAAUGCCAUGGAAUAUGGACUGCCUUCAUCGCACGCUCUCAACACCGUUUGUUUGAUGGGAUACAUGUUACAUUAUGUCCUCACAUAUGGACCAUGUGAUGGUUUCACGAUUGCCACGGGUCUUUCUCUAGCUUUCAUGCUCGUUACGUUAAUUGGAAUUGCGAGGGUAUACUUGGGCAUGCACAGCUUGACCGACGUUAUCGCUGGGAUCUCUUUUGGCAUCGUGAUCCUUGCAUUCUGGUUGGUUGUCCAUGAUCAUGUUGAUGCCUUUGUCGUCUCCGGCCAAAAUGUCACAUUCUUCUGGGCAAGCCUUUCUCUAGUGCUCUGCUUUGCAUAUCCAAAGCCAGAAUUCCCAACUCCUAGCUUUGAAUUCCACACAGCAUUCAACGGGGUCGCUUUCGGAAUUGUCUACGGCGUGCAGCAGACGUACACCCGUUUCCAUGGCCCGGAAGCCCCCCUCAUUCUCAGCCAUCAACUACCCCUCCUCGCCUAUGCUGGGAGGGUCCUUGUGGGGAUCCCGACCAUCCUGGCCGUGAAGUCCUGUAGCAAGGCGCUCUCGAAAUGGCUCCUGCCGGUCAUGUGCAGCACCCUGGGGGUCCCGAUCGUCUCGUCCUGCUAUGUGCCCGCGCUGAAGCCAUCCGACAUUGGCGGCGGCUCAGGCAACAAGGACGAGGCCAAGCAGGCCGGCGGAUACCUCCAGCGGCUCUUCUCCCUCUUCCCUCAGAAGGCGUAUGAUGUAGACACCGGCAUCAGGUUCGUGCAGUACGCCGGGCUUGCGUGGUCGGUGGUCGACCUGGUGCCGGUGAUCUUCACGCAUCUGAACCUGUGA